This 254-nucleotide ribosomal RNA is filed under the name uncultured bacterium. RNAcentral's name for it is "partial 16S ribosomal RNA". It matches the Rfam family "Bacterial small subunit ribosomal RNA", at positions 524 to 773 of the family's 1533-position model. The record is from RNAcentral.
UACGGGGGGGGCAAGCGUUGUUCGGAAUUACUGGGCGUAAAGGGCUCGUAGGCGGCCAACUAAGUCGGAUGUGAAAUCCCCAGGCUUAACCUGGGAACUGCAUCCGAUACUGGAUGGCUUGAAUCCGGGAGAGGGAUGCAGAAUUCCAGGUGUAGCGGUGAAAUGCGUAGAUAUCUGGAGGAAUACCGGUGGCGAAGGCGGCAUCCUGGACCGGCAUUGACGACUGACGGUGAGCGAAAAGCCAGGGGGGAGCC